This 387-nucleotide long non-coding RNA is filed under the name Chloebia gouldiae (Gouldian finch). RNAcentral describes it as "Erythrura gouldiae (Gouldian finch) lncRNA (ENSEGOG00005004055.1)". Lineage: Eukaryota; Metazoa; Chordata; Aves; Passeriformes; Passeridae. The record is from RNAcentral.
CAGCCUGUACAGUCACAUUGCAGGAAUGUGGCUCUUGCAUGCAAUCUCUCCACUUCAUUGAUAGGUCCCUAACAACUUUGCAGCCUGUGAGCCAUGAGCAGCUGUGUACUGCUGAUGUUCAACAAACUCAGUGCCAGAAGAAUGUGCAGUCUGUCUCAAAGGAUUCUGGAGCUGCUCAGGGAUGGAAAUGGAGAGGUGGUCAUCAAGAGCCUCCAUGUGUUCAUGAAUGUACUCCAGCACAAAGACAUCCUGGUAUCCAGCACCACUGCCCCAAAGCUGACUGAGGCACUCCGGGUGCUCUUUGACCACGUAAGGUUCUGCAUCCUGAGCCACAGGCAUCGGGUGCUUCCCAGAAACUUGGUGCCCUGUGGAUUUUCAGGCCUUUGC